GGUUUAACAUCCCCAUGGUGUUUGGUCCAACUAAUGGCGGUUGUCACAACAUUCGGUGCACAGCAGACCUCAAGGGACAAUGCCCGAAUGAGUUAAGGGCUCCUGGUGGGUGCAAUAACCCAUGCACAGUGUUCAAAACCAAUGAGUAUUGUUGCACUCAAGGGUACGGAACCUGUGGUCCGACCUAUUUCUCAAGGUUUUUCAAGGACCGGUGCCAUGAUUCAUACAGUUAUCCUCAGGAUGAUCCUUCAAGCACCUUUACUUGCCCCGCUGGUUCCAAUUACAGGGUUGUGUUUUGCCCUAGAGGCUCACCCCGCAUAGAGAUGGUCGGAAGCAAGAACCAAGAAAAGUAAAGGGAUGAUCUCUUGGAGUAGUUGAUUUGCAUUUGGGAAUAAAAAAUAAAGAUCAUUUGGUCUUUCGAAAUGAUACUGAACCUAUGGAUGUAUUUGUUUUAUUUUGCAUAUGUUUUGUUUAAUGGAAGAGCAAAAACAAAUAAAUACUAUUUUUUUUGGUGAUUUAUAAUAAUAAGACAAAUUCUGAAUAAUAAACUAUUAUUCAGAUUCCAAUUUAGAUCACAGUUUGGAUGAUGAAUGGCCCAUCACAUGGUUCAAACUGCUUGUAAGUAGAAUGAGACAUUCUGUGGUAGAAACCAACUAAACUCAAGAACAUUACCUCAAAAACGAAUUUAAGGUAAUGUCAUUUUUUAAUGCUUUUAGACUUCCCUCGUCAACUUGAAUUCCUGCUGAACUUAUUAUAAAACCCCAAAAAGAAAAUCUUAUCCAUGCAAUUACCAAAAAGUUGUUCAUGUCCUUCUUUGGUGCGUCGAUGAUCUGGCAAAACCAGGUAAACCUACCUGAUGAAAACCAAUACCAUAACAUCAUUGACCACCUUCAAGACCACCACCGUCCCCCCAGUUAUCUCAUCACUCUCGGUUCGCUCCCUCGAUCGAAACAACGCCUCCAACUACACUCUAUCACAACUCUCUCGCUUUUCAAGCCACACACAUCAUCUUCACCAUCCUUGCCAAAAACCACCAUCUCCAACCUGAAACGAAUUGGGUGGAGCCAGCACUCAAAAACACCAUGAGCGAACGCACACGAAUCGUCUUUUUUUCAGUUCCCCUUGCGGAAGUCCGGGCAAGCGGAUUGAGAGUAACGGAACUUCCUCGAAUCCCUCCAAUGAGCCUUCUCGCUCGGGUGGGCGUACGGCCCCUCGGUCAGUCAUGUGACCUUCCACGCGCACACCUCUUCACCUUGAACUCAUACAUACGAAAAUGGUCGCAUGAGAAUGCAUCGACGAUGGGUACGUCAGAGUCGUCACAAAGGGUGUCGGGCUCGAGAUCGUUCAACGAGAGGUAGCGGAGAAGGGCCAUAAGGUAGUCAACGGGACGGGCUGCAAGGUGCAUUGCAGUUAAAGUCGAGGGUUGAAAAGUUAUCCGCCCGAUCGUUUAACAAUUCCUAGUCGGGGAUUUUGACGGUGGGGAAGGGUCGUGUAGUGAGUUUUUUUAUCAUCAUAUUUUGGAUAUUGUCAGUUCUGCUAUUCUAACUCGGAUGAUGAAGAUGAAUGUGCUUGGUUUCGGGUUCUAGAUGGUAAAGAUGAUGCGUGGGGCUUGAGAACAGAGAGAGUUGUGACAGAGUGUAGUUGAAGGAUUGGUUUCAAUCGAAAGAGCGAGUCCGGAGUGAUGAGAUUACUAGGGGGACGGUGGUGAUCCUGAGGGUGAUUAAUGGUGUCAUGGUAUUGGUUUUUAGUAGGUAGGUUGACUUGGUUUUGCCAGAUCAUCGGCACACCAAUUAAGGAGAAGAAAGAAAAAAAUAAUAAAGAAUGAAAGAAAAGGAAAAACAGACAGAAAAGAUAAUAAUAAAAGAAAUAUAAUAAUAUAGUGGGAUCUACUAACGAAAAUUAAUCUCAUGUCACUGUGCCGUUUGAUACUUAAUCGCACGGUGGCUAUGAAAACAAUUUCUUAAAAUUUAGGGUGAGUUUAGAUAAACGAUGCGUUUACUUGCAGUUAGUGUAAAAAUAGCGGUGGCGGUAAGAUUAGAUACUAUAGCGAUACUGUAGUGUGAAACAAAAAAUAAACUAAACACACCGCAUCGCAUCCAAUUGUUCAUCCAAAUUCACCCUUAAUGAUGAGUUGGAUGAUUAAAGAAGCAUUAAAAAUUUAGUUACUAAUUAGAUAAUUUAUUCAAAUAAUAAUAUGUGAAUAUUUUAAUAUAUUGUAUUAAAACAGUUAUAUUUUUAAAGGGAAAUAUAAAUUCAAAUUUUAUGAACUACGAUAUGAUAAAUACGUAAAAUCGGUUAUGUUAAAAAAAUAAUAGUAUUCUGCAACGUACGUAGACUGAGUAGCUAAGUGGAAAGAAAGUCAAAUGGUAGAUAUUAAAAUAAGGAAUAUCUUAUGGUUCUCCCAAAAUCCAAAUAAGCUUGGCCUUAUCUUCAUUAUGAUUUGAAAGUGUUCGAUUAGCCGCCUCUACCUUUAUUAAAACAAUAUUAUGGCACUUGCCCAUGAUAUCUAUGGUACCAAAAAGCCGCCUUACUUGUAUAUAAACCCUCAUCUCCUAUGAACAAAUCCCAAAGUAAGAGCUAACCAUGAGCUACUUAACCAUUUCCCAAAUCUCCUCCCUCCUCUUCUUUAGCGUCCUUUUCAUUUCCGCUCAUGCAGCGCGCUUUGAAAUCCGCAAUGAGUGCUCCUACACCGUCUGGGCAGCAGCCUCUCCUGGUGGUGGCCGUCGCCUAGACCCUCGGCAAAGUUGGACCAUCGAUGUGCCUGCUGGCACUGCUAUGGCUCGUAUUUGGGGUCGAACCAAUUGCAAUUUCGAUGCCAGUGGUAGGGGUCAUUGCCAAACCGGUGAUUGUGGUGGACUCCUUCAAUGCAAAGGUUGGGGUGUACCUCCAAACACCCUGGCUGAAUAUGCACUUAAUCAAUUUGGAAACAUGGAUUUCUACGACAUUUCCUUAGUUGAUGGGUUUAACAUCCCCAUGGUGUUUGGUCCAACUAAUGGCGGUUGUCACAACAUUCGGUGCACUGCAGACAUCAACGGACAAUGCCCGAAUGAGUUAAGAGCUCCUGGUGGGUGCAAUAACCCAUGCACGGUGUUUAAGACCAAUGAAUAUUGUUGCACUCAAGGGUACGGGACCUGUGGUCCGACCCGUUAUUCAAGGUUUUUCAAGGACCGGUGCCGUGAUUCAUACAGUUAUCCUCAAGAUGAUCCUUCGAGCACCUUUACUUGCCCUGCUGGUUCCAAUUACAGGGUCGUGUUUUGCCCCAGAGGCUCACCUCAUAUAGAGAUGGUCGGAAGUAAGAGCCAAGAAAAAUAAAGGGAUCAUCUCUUGGUCUAGUUAAUCUGCGC
Molecule: long non-coding RNA, 3344 nt
Filed under: Gossypium barbadense (sea-island cotton)
Lineage: Eukaryota; Viridiplantae; Streptophyta; Magnoliopsida; Malvales; Malvaceae
Description: long non-coding RNA (GBAR_LNC022033)
Source: RNAcentral